This 3258-nucleotide long non-coding RNA is filed under the name Mytilus galloprovincialis (Mediterranean mussel). Lineage: Eukaryota; Metazoa; Mollusca; Bivalvia; Mytilida; Mytilidae. The record is from RNAcentral.
AUUAAAAAAUAAUGGGGUACAGCAGUCAACAAUGAGUUACAACCUUAAUAGUGUACUUGUAGGUACAAUGGAAACCAGAAUUGAUAUACAACGUGUUGCUGGAAUUAUUUCUGUUUGCUUUUUGAUGUCUAUUCCAUUUAUGUGUUUAAUGUGCGUUCUCUCUAAGAACGACAAAUCGAAAUUAUUAGUAUUCUUGUAAGUACUUUCUUUUAAUAACCAAUUUGUAUUUAUCAGUAGUCGUCAACUUUCCUUUAAUAACCAAUUUGUAUUUAUCAGUAGGCGUCAAUGAAAUAACAAAACAAAGAACACAAACUGUAAUUAAGAAAAACUCAUUUAGACGAAAAUGUUUAACAUAUCCGACUUAUUGAUCACAUUAAUGUGUUUGUACGAUCAUCACUGGUGUGUCUAGUGUUUGUGAACUGCGUGUUUUGCCUUAUAAGUUUUGUAUCUUUAAUGAUUCUCAAACCCGGCAUCAUUACAUUAUUUUCCAUAACCCUGACUCUUAUAACACGUACACAAUUAGCAUUUAUAAUUACCUUAAGUGUAACGCUUUCGAAAAAAUGAGAAGGUCAACACUGUGGAUUAAUUUAUUUUUGUAAGUACCAAUUAUCGAGCAUUAAUGGAAACUAUAAUGUUUGUGGAUAUCUAACGUCGUUGUAAUGUUGAGGUCUGCUAACAAUAGAAAAUUUAGGGUAUAUAUUGUGUAGAUUUUCGUUUUGUUAUGAGUAUUGUAUACUAGAAGUUUUUUUGUGUUUUUUUUUUCUUUCAUUUUUUUGUCAUUGGAUUGUCAGUUCGUUAUUGCUGACAGGUUUGAGAGUCCUUUUAUAAUUAAUUAUAAAUUUAACAAAUACAAAUUCGUCAUUAAGGUUGACCACUUUCUGAAGAAUUCCGUUAAGUACAUUAAGGGUUGCAGAGGUUAUCAUACAUAAAAUUUGUAUCAUCUGUAUAUAUAUAAUUAUAUACAUAUACAUGCGUAUUAUAUGUUAUUUAUGUCUCAGACAGAGUUUAUACCUUGACAUUCCCGACUUCAGAUUAAUAUCAGAGCAUAUAAGCUAUUAGCCAGGAAUAUCCCAGUAUACCUUGUUUGAGACCUAAAAUACACAUAAAUUAUGGAUUACGUCUGUCUUUUUAUUUUUCAAGUGCAGAAAUUUUUAAAACAUUCCCAAUCCAACAUGCUUAUUCAUGACAUGAUUAUCGUGUAUUGCUAUUUUAAGUAAUCUAUCUAAUUUGGACAAUUUCUUUCCGUUUUUAGAGUUCAGGUUUUAUAUUUUGUUUCUAUGUGUGUUUAGCUUUGUUUUAUACAUGUUUUUAAUUGGAGGUUCCAAUUAAGGAUAAAAACGUGGUAUAUACCCCGGCAGUUUCCUGAAUAAAUACUGACAUUUCUAUGUUGUUAUCCCAUUACAAAACUCGACUCAUUUAUAAUCCGUCAUAUAAAUGCUUAAAUGGCUUUCUGUUGGAUGUUGAAACAUUGGAGUCCUUUUUUCAUUGAUAUAAUUUUGUAAAUGGGAAAUAAUCUAAUUUAAGUCAUGGUCCAACGUCUUUAAAAAGAGUGAUAUAUAUGAAUGAUAGUUUCAAAAUGUAAAGAAAUAAAUGAAAAAUGUCAAAUAUUCUGAACGUCACUACUACAUGUACUAUGCAUUUAAGAAAUACCCAAAUGUAUGCGUAAAAAUUUAAAUAAUAUUUUGCAAAAUAAAAAUCAUAAUAAUUCAUUCAUACAACACAUAUGUGUUUUUUGUACUUCACAAGACACAACGUGUUGAUUAAUUUGUUUAUUUUCCAGACAUAAUUGCCAACAGAAGAAGAGGCGAGGGUCAAAAGAUUCAUUAAAACAACACCGGAAGAUAGACGAAGAAAUGGCAUUACAAAAUGAUAAAGAAGGGGUAACAUGAUGAAUUCAAGGAGACAUUAGAAAAUGAUAUUCUUCAAUGGAAAUCCAAUUUCUAUAAAUCUGCUAUGAAUUACUUAUUCAUACAUGUAUUGAUUGUCGUAAAUCAGUACAAUUUUCAAUCGUUGAGUUUUAAUUUGAUUUUAAAAAUUGUCUAAAGAUAGAACAAAAAGAUAUGUUUUGCACAACUCUUUUUGUAAUAUUUGUAUUCACAUGCUUUGCUUCAACAUUACAGUUCUAAUUUAUGCAAAUAUCUUAGUGUAUAUUUGUUAAAGUAUAUUGUUGUUGUAAUACAAAGUUAAGAUUGAGAGUUUUUAAGUUUUUUAUAGUUUUGGAAAAACUUAUGUUUAUAUUUCUUUUAUUGAUGAUUUUAUAAUCUAAUCGCCUGUUUAGAUGUAUUCAACAAAUAUCGGCAAUAAUUUUAAAGAGUUAAACAAAGACCAGCGAUAAGACCGUGAAAUAGCUACUAUACACAUAUUUUCAAUCAUUUAAAAACAUAGUAUUGUUAUUUAUUAAUAAUUUAUGUUUUGAAUCAAAUGUGCAAUAAAAUGAAAAAAAACUCAACAUUACCAGACUUAUACAUUUGUGCGAUUCAAUUUUUUUUACCAGCUAUUGUCGAAACCAUAAUAGGAGAUGUGGCAUGAUGAGUGGGUGCGUGUUACUAUGGGUAACCGUACAGUCUUUAACAAUCAACAAAACCAAAGUGGGUAAAGAAGCUACAAAUAGACCCGUUAUGAUCAAAUGUUAAACGAGUUUUAACGUUUUUAUAUACAAGAACAUAAAAAAGACGAAAAGCUAAUACGAUAAUCAGCAAAUGAAAACCACCACUGAUUUACAAGCUGUUGGGCAUGGAUAGCCACACACCAAAUUUGGCAAGCUUAAAUAUAUUGCCUGGGACAGUGCUGAGACAGCACAACAAUAUAACAUGCUACAAAACCAGUUCAAAAGGGUUUGGCUCAUAAGGCUAAUGUAGUGCAAAACAAACAAAUACACUUGAAAGGCAAAGAACCGAUCUAAGAGUUCUACCAUUUAUUUAAAAGCCUAACACCAAAAAAAAAUAAAAAAAAAUUACAACAUUAAUUUACGGGAAUACUGUACAAAUAAAUACAAGAACACUCAAAACAGAAAAAUACAAAAAUAAACAAAAACACAUUUAAUAAUACCUUUUGUUUUGACAUAUUCACUGCAGAAUAACAUCGAAUUUUUAAAAUGAAGAAGGACAGUAGACAAAAACAGCACAAUAGAAAUAAAAACUGUAUGUAUGUCACACGAAUGUAUCAGCGUCACAAAAAGUAACGUCACAGGUAAAUUUCUAUUAAUUGGAUAUACAUCAAUAUUAGGUUAUGUUAACUGAUGUAUUUUAUAACAAAUAC